AGGACAACGCUGGCGGCGUGCCUAACACAUGCAAGUCGAACGGAGAUAUUGAUGAAGCUUGCGAUUUAAUAUCUUAGUGGCGGACGGGUGAGUAACGCGUGGGUGACCUACCAUAAGUGGGGGACAACAGUUGGAAACGACUGCUAAUACCGCAUAAGCUGAGAAAUCAGUAAAGGAGGCCUCUGAAUAUGCUUCCGCUUAUGGAUGGGCCCGCGUCUGAUUAGCUAGUUGGUGGGGUAAAGGCCUACCAAGGCGACGAUCAGUAGCCGGCCUGAGAGGGUGAACGGCCACACUGGGACUGAGACACGGCCCAGACUCCUACGGGAGGCAGCAGUGGGGAAUAUUGCGCAAUGGGGGAAACCCUGACGCAGCGACGCCGCGUGAGCGAAGAAGGCCUUAGGGUCGUAAAGCUCUGUUUUAAGGGACGAAUGUCACGGGCAGUAAUAUGGUCUGUGAAUGACGGUACCUUAAGAGGAAGCCCCGGCUAACUACGUG
This 495-nucleotide ribosomal RNA is filed under the name uncultured bacterium. Its description in RNAcentral is "bacterial SSU rRNA". It matches the Rfam family "Bacterial small subunit ribosomal RNA", at positions 32 to 507 of the family's 1533-position model. The record is from RNAcentral.